AGCGAACGCUGGCGGCAGGCUUAACACAUGCAAGUCGAGCGGACCUUUCGGGGUCAGCGGCGGACGGGUGAGUAACGCGUGGGAACGUGCCUUCCGGUUCGGAAUAACCCUGGGAAACUAGGGCUAAUACCGGAUACGCCCUUAUGGGGAAAGGUUUACUGCCGGAAGAUCGGCCCGCGUCUGAUUAGCUAGUUGGUGGGGUAACGGCCUACCGAGGCGACGAUCAGUAGCUGGUCUGAGAGGAUGAUCAGCCACACUGGGACUGAGACACGGCCCAGACUCCUACGGGAGGCAGCAGUGGGGAAUAUUGGACAAUGGGCGCAAGCCUGAUCCAGCCAUGCCGCGUGAGUGAUGAAGGCCUUAGGGUUGUAAAGCUCUUUUAUCCGGGACGAUAAUGACGGUACCGGAGGAAUAAGCCCCGGCUAACUUCGUG
Molecule: ribosomal RNA, 433 nt
Filed under: uncultured bacterium
Lineage: Bacteria
Description: partial 16S ribosomal RNA
Rfam family: Bacterial small subunit ribosomal RNA
Source: RNAcentral